Molecule: ribosomal RNA, 376 nt
Filed under: uncultured bacterium
Lineage: Bacteria
Description: bacterial SSU rRNA
Rfam family: Bacterial small subunit ribosomal RNA
Source: RNAcentral
AUACGUAGGUGGCAAGCGUUGUCCGGAAUUAUUGGGCGUAAAGCGCGCGCAGGCGGCUAUGUAAGUCUGGCGUUAAAGCCCGGGGCUCAACCCCGGUUCGCAUCGGAAACUGUGUAGCUUGAGUGCAGAAGAGGAAAGCGGUAUUCCACGUGUAGCGGUGAAAUGCGUAGAGAUGUGGAGGAACACCAGUGGCGAAGGCGGCUUUCUGGUCUGUAACUGACGCUGGGGCGCGAAAGCGUGGGGAGCAAACAGGAUUAGAUACCCUGGUAGUCCACGCCGUAAACGAUGAGUGCUAGGUGUUGGGGGUUUCAAUACCCUCAGUGCCGCAGCUAACGCAAUAAGCACUCCGCCUGGGGAGUACGCUCGCAAGAGUGAA